RNAcentral lists this ribosomal RNA (212 nucleotides) under uncultured bacterium. RNAcentral describes it as "partial 16S ribosomal RNA". It matches the Rfam family "Bacterial small subunit ribosomal RNA", at positions 127 to 334 of the family's 1533-position model. The record is from RNAcentral.
UGCCUGGUAGCGGGGGAUAACUAUUGGAAACGAUAGCUAAUACCGCAUAAUAUCGACUAUUGCAUGAUAGUCAAUUGAAAGGUGCAAAUGCACCACUACCAGAUGGACCUGCGUUGUAUUAGCUAGUUGGUGGGGUAACGGCUCACCAAGGCGACGAUACAUAGCCGACCUGAGAGGGUGAUCGGCCACACUGGGACUGAGACACGGCCCAG